RNAcentral lists this ribosomal RNA (253 nucleotides) under uncultured bacterium. RNAcentral describes it as "partial 16S ribosomal RNA". It matches the Rfam family "Bacterial small subunit ribosomal RNA", at positions 524 to 776 of the family's 1533-position model. The record is from RNAcentral.
GACGAACCGUGCGAACGUUGUUCGGAAUCACUGGGCUUAAAGGGCGCGUAGGCGGCCUGCUAAGUCGGACGUGAAAUCCCUCGGCUCAACCGGGGAACUGCGUCUGAUACUGGGUGGCUUGAAUUCGGGAGAGGGAAGUGGAAUUUCCGGUGUAGCGGUGAAAUGCGUAGAUAUCGGAAGGAACAUCAGUGGCGAAAGCGACUUCCUGGACCAAUACUGACGCUCAUGUGCGAAAGCGUGGGGAGCAAACAGG